GUAUUGAUCUAUUUAUUUUUUACUUUCAUUCGUCCUAUGGCAUUGUUCAAUUUCUCUCUUUCCCCAUGAACAGGUUGCAGCAGAGAAGCCAAAUCCCACCAUAUUUAUAAAAGCUUGUGAGUGGUUGGGAGUAAAGCCUGAGGAUGCUGUUCAUGUGGGGGAUGAUCGUAGAAACGAUAUAUGGGGUGCCAGAGAUGCAGGUUGUGAUGCUUGGCUAUGGGGAAGUGAUGUACAUUCCUUCAAAGAGCUUCAGAAUUCAAUAUGCUUUUGUUGCAUUUAUGUAUGUUAAAUAGCUAAAAGACCCACAAGCCCCUGCGGGGAGAUCACUCAAAACUCUAAAGCUACAUGAUUAUUUUUUUUUAUUUUGGAUUGGGAAAAAUGGUAAAAAUGUAUGUGGCUUUGUUAUACAUAUAUUUUUGUAGGUUAUAUUGGGCUAGAUAGUUUUGAAUAAUACUGAUACAAGAACUUUGAUAAGGUGCAAUUGUAUUUCAUAUUCUGCUAUGGAGCACAGUGAUGUACUAAAAUAAAAGAGGAUAUCUUUUCGAAUGUAGUGUUGUGUUGGUGUCAGUUACAUGUCCAAUACAUGUUCAACAUAGAUAGGCAAAUUUAUCGCAUGGUUAUUGGGUGUUUUUACCUUGGUCUCACCAAAAGUGGGGUCAAGGGGUUAAUCUUAAUAAAAUAAAAUAAAUAAAUAAAUAAAAGAUAGGCAAAUUUAUGAGAAUCUAGUGUGGAUUUAACCCAUGGCUUUGUGCCACAGUGGUAUGGUCUACAAUCCCUAUAGUGGACAUUGUGGGUUCGAGGUUCAUGUGGUGUUGGGGCUGAUCUUUUUUCCCUUUCUCCUUAGAUUAGGCUAGUGUAGGUUCUAAUGAGUGA
Non-coding RNA from Camellia sinensis, 873 nucleotides. The record is from RefSeq and is a predicted model, not a curated record. NCBI's taxonomy places the organism in Eukaryota, Viridiplantae, Streptophyta, Magnoliopsida, Ericales, Theaceae.